This 403-nucleotide ribosomal RNA is filed under the name uncultured bacterium. RNAcentral describes it as "partial 16S ribosomal RNA". It matches the Rfam family "Bacterial small subunit ribosomal RNA", at positions 30 to 526 of the family's 1533-position model. The record is from RNAcentral.
AUUGAACGCUGGCGGCAGGCCUAACACAUGCAAGUCGAGCGAGCGGCGGACGGGUGAGUAAUGUAUGGGGACUGCCCGAUAGAGGGGGAUAACUACUGGAAACGGUAGCUAAUACCGCAUACUAUCGGAUAACCCAUAUGGGAUUAGCUAGUAGGUGAGGUAAUGGCUCACCUAGGCGACGAUCCCUAGCUGGUCUGAGAGGAUGAUCAGCCACACUGGGACUGAGACACGGCCCAGACUCCUACGGAGGCAGCAGUGGGGAAUAUUGCACAAUGGGCGCAAGCCUGAUGCAGCCAUGCCGCGUGUAUGAUGAAGGCCUUAGGGUUGUAAAGUACUUUCGGUAGGGAAGCGUUAUCUACAGAAUAAGCACCGGCUAACUACGUGCCAGCAGCCGCGGUAAUAC